RNAcentral lists this ribosomal RNA (497 nucleotides) under uncultured bacterium. Its description in RNAcentral is "partial 16S ribosomal RNA". It matches the Rfam family "Bacterial small subunit ribosomal RNA", at positions 28 to 507 of the family's 1533-position model. The record is from RNAcentral.
GACGAACGCUGGCGGCGUGCCUAAUACAUGCAAGUUGAGCGCUGAAGGUUGGUACUUGUACCAACUGGAUGAGCAGCGAACGGGUGAGUAACGCGUGGGGAAUCUGCCUUUGAGCGGGGGACAACAUUUGGAAACGAAUGCUAAUACCGCAUAAAAACUUUAAACACAAGUUUUAAGUUUGAAAGAUGCAAUUGCAUCACUCAAAGAUGAUCCCGCGUUGUAUUAGCUAGUUGGUGAGGUAAAGGCCCACCAAGGCGAUGAUACAUAGCCGACCUGAGAGGGUGAUCGGCCACAUGGGGACUGGGACACGGCCCAAACUCCUACGGGAGGCAGCAGUAGGGAAUCUUCGGCAAUGGACGAAAGUCUGGACGAGCAACGCCGCGGGAGUGAAGAAGGUUUUCGGAUCGUAAAACUCUGUUGGUAGAGAAGAACGUUGGUGAGAGUGGAAAGCUCAUCAAGUGACGGUAACUACCCAGAAAGGGACGGCUAACUACGUG